Molecule: ribosomal RNA, 1460 nt
Filed under: uncultured organism
Description: SSU rRNA
Rfam family: Bacterial small subunit ribosomal RNA
Source: RNAcentral
CUGGCGGCGUGCCUAAUACAUGCAAGUAGAACGCUGAAGAGAGGAGCUUGCUCUUCUUGGAUGAGUUGCGAACGGGUGAGUAACGCGUAGGUAACCUGCCUGGUAGCGGGGGAUAACUAUUGGAAACGAUAGCUAAUACCGCAUAAAAUUGAUUAUUGCAUGAUAAUUAAUUGAAAGAUGCAAUUGCAUCACUACCAGAUGGACCUGCGUUGUAUUAGCUAGUUGGUGAGGUAACGGCUCACCAAGGCGACGAUACAUAGCCGACCUGAGAGGGUGAUCGGCCACACUGGGGCUGAGACACGGCCCAGACUCCUACGGGAGGCAGCAGUAGGGAAUCUUCGGCAAUGGGGGGAACCCUGACCGAGCAACGCCGCGUGAGUGAAGAAGGUUUUCGGAUCGUAAAGCUCUGUUGUAAGAGAAGAACGGGUGUGAGAGUGGAAAGUUCACACUGUGACGGUAUCUUACCAGAAAGGGACGGCUAACUACAUGCCAGCAGCCGCGGUAAUACGUAGGUCCCGAGCGUUGUCCGGAUUUAUUGGGCGUAAAGCGAGCGCAGGCGGUUAGAUAAGUCUGAAGUUAAAGGCUGUGGCUUAACCAUAGUAUGCUUUGGAAACUGUUUAACUUGAGUGCAGAAGGGGAGAGUGGAAUUCCAUGUGUAGCGGUGAAAUGCGUAGAUAUAUGGAGGAACACCGGUGGCGAAAGCGGCUCUCUGGUCUGUAACUGACGCUGAGGCUCGAAAGCGUGGGGAGCAAACAGGAUUAGAUACCCUGGUAGUCCACGCCGUAAACGAUGAGUGCUAGGUGUUAGGCCCUUUCCGGGGCUUAGUGCCGCAGCUAACGCAUUAAGCACUCCGCCUGGGGAGUACGACCGCAAGGUUGAAACUCAAAGGAAUUGACGGGGGCCCGCACAAGCGGUGGAGCAUGUGGUUUAAUUCGAAGCAACGCGAAGAACCUUACCAGGUCUUGACAUCCCUCUGACCGCUCUAGAGAUAGAGUUUUCCUUCGGGACAGAGGUGACAGGUGGUGCAUGGUUGUCGUCAGCUCGUGUCGUGAGAUGUUGGGUUAAGUCCCGCAACGAGCGCAACCCCUAUUGUUAGUUGCCAUCAUUCAGUUGGGCACUCUAGCGAGACUGCCGGUAAUAAACCGGAGGAAGGUGGGGAUGACGUCAAAUCAUCAUGCCCCUUAUGACCUGGGCUACACACGUGCUACAAUGGCUGGUACAACGAGUCGCAAGCCGGUGACGGCAAGCUAAUCUCUGAAAGCCAGUCUCAGUUCGGAUUGUAGGCUGCAACUCGCCUACAUGAAGUCGGAAUCGCUAGUAAUCGCGGAUCAGCACGCCGCGGUGAAUACGUUCCCGGGCCUUGUACACACCGCCCGUCACACCACGAGAGUUUGCAACACCCGAAGUCGGUGAGGUAACCCUUACGGGAGCCAGCCGCCGAAGGUGGGGCAAAUGAUUGG